Molecule: RNase P RNA, 338 nt
Filed under: Bacillota bacterium
Lineage: Bacteria; Bacillati; Bacillota
Description: RNase P RNA component class B
Rfam family: Bacterial RNase P class B
About the family: Ribonuclease P (RNase P) is a ubiquitous endoribonuclease, found in archaea, bacteria and eukarya as well as chloroplasts and mitochondria. Its best characterised activity is the generation of mature 5'-ends of tRNAs by cleaving the 5'-leader elements of precursor-tRNAs.
Source: RNAcentral
AUUUCAAGACAAAUGCUGCAUAAAUUAUAUGUAGAGGAAAGUCCAUGCUCGCACAGGCUGAGAUGCUUGUAGUGUUCGUGCCUAAGGAAAAAAUAACUUAGGGUAGUUUAACUAACGGCGUCGAAUUUUCCUUUAAUCUGGAAAUAGUAGACAUAAAGUGCCAAAGAGACGAGUAUUUGUGGAAACGCAAAUAGUGGAACGUGGUAAACCCCGCGAGCGAGAAACCCAAAUUUUGGUAGGGGAAUUCAUCAAUAGAAAAUGAACUAAAGAUGGAACCGUUUAUGGUAGAUAAAUAUUUGUCGCUUUUUUUAUAAAAGUACAGAACAUGGCUUAUAAGA